RNAcentral lists this ribosomal RNA (429 nucleotides) under Pseudomonadota bacterium. RNAcentral's name for it is "Proteobacteria bacterium partial 16S ribosomal RNA". It matches the Rfam family "Bacterial small subunit ribosomal RNA", at positions 355 to 776 of the family's 1533-position model. The record is from RNAcentral. Lineage: Bacteria; Pseudomonadati; Pseudomonadota.
UGGGGAAUAUUGGACAAUGGGCGAAAGCCUGAUCCAGCCAUGCCGCGUGUGUGAAGAAGGUCUUCGGAUUGUAAAGCACUUUAAGUUGGGAGGAAGGGCAGUAAGCGAAUACCUUGCUGUUUUGACGUUACCGACAGAAUAAGCACCGGCUAACUCUGUGCCAGCAGCCGCGGUAAUACAGAGGGUGCAAGCGUUAAUCGGAAUUACUGGGCGUAAAGCGCGCGUAGGUGGUUCGUUAAGUUGAAUGUGAACGCCCCGGGCUCAACCUGGGAACUGCAUCCCAAACUGGCGAGCUAGAGUAGGGCAGAGGGUGGUGGAAUUUCCUGUGUAGCGGUUAAAUGCGUAGAUAUAGGAAGGAACACCAGUGGCGAAGGCGACCACCUGGGCUCAUACUGACACUGAGGUGCGAAAGCGUGGGGAGCAAACAGG